AUGGUUUCUCUUGGCUAUAUGGUUCAUAUGGGGGGGAUCAAGCUUCAAGAAAUUGUGAAUGGUCUUGUCAAUACACAAAUGUAUAACUCCCCAAGACUUUCAAUUCUGCUUAUAUCCAUCACUGUAGGACUUGGGUUUAAGCUUUCGCCAGCAACUUUUCAUCAAUGGACUCCUGACGUCUACGAAGGAGUAUGGUUCAUUCGACAAAUUCCUACCUCUAUAUCUAUCUCUGAGGUUCGUUGCUUUUUCUUUUUGUUACUUCGAAAGUAG
RNAcentral lists this ribosomal RNA (270 nucleotides) under Triticum aestivum (bread wheat). RNAcentral describes it as "partial small subunit ribosomal RNA". The record is from RNAcentral. Lineage: Eukaryota; Viridiplantae; Streptophyta; Magnoliopsida; Poales; Poaceae.